GGGAAUCGUAAUUAACAAAAACCCUAAAGGCAGGCCACCUACGGGAAAGUCAAAUACGAGCCGACCUAGGCCAUGUGAUGGGAGUAAGGUCUCCAAUGUUGAUAAGACAUCACAAAACUGUUUGUCAAAUUGGAGGUGGCUCUCAUAGAUUGGACGCUGCAUGGGAAGGUAACCCUAUUUCGACCAAAGCUGAUAGUUCUAUUAGGAAAAAAUUAACCCUUGAACCCACACUGGAAAAUGGCUCGGAGGGGGGACCAAAGGAGGUGGCAACGGGCAAGUUUCUGGAGAAGAGCCUUCGGUUAGGGGAUCAGGUCGAGACUUGCAAACGGGAUGAUGAUAGAAUGGAUGGACGAGAACAAUCCAAUCCAGGACCGACUAUCCUCCACCACGAGGGGAACGCUGUCGAGAGGGAUAAGGAGGACUCCAAGUUGGGAACAAGCAAGGCCACAGCAAUAAGCGUUCUCUCAAGAGCGAUUUCUUCAACGGAGAAAUUCAAACGGAAACACCAAACGAAAGAAGUCACAAGCAGUGGAAGAGAGGCGCUUAGUGCCGACCCUCAUCUUGUCGCCACCUAUUUGGCCAUUUCCUCCAUGGCCCUUCGAUCCAUAGGAACAUAUGAACCAGAGAUCCUGGAGCAACGAAAGGGAGGAACAAUGGAUUAUGGAGAUUCCACAGUACCGUCUAGAGGAGGAACCUUUGGAGUUUCACCUUAUGGACCAAAAAUUCACUGCGUUCGAGUUGAGAGUGAACCUACUAAUCCAGCAGUUCCGAAUCUGAGUACGGCCUAUAAGGUUCAAGGGCAGAUCGAGCUUCAUGAACAAAGUGGAGAUGAAUCCUUGGUUCAAUCCCAACUUGAUAAGGGGCUUUGAAAGGGACCCGACACAUCCUUCUAACCAACCAUUCGAUAAUCAUAUCACUAUCAUUAGCAGGAACUGUAGGGGUGCACGGCAUGCGGACUUUGGUAAAACUGUUAGGGAUUUGGCUAGUGUUUAUAACCCUCAUUUGAUGGUUAUCACUGAAACGAGGGCUAGGGGUAUAGAUGUACCUAGGAUUUUAGCGAGCUUACCUUUUGACAGAUGGAUGGAUACUCGCACAAAUGGUUCAAAGGGGGCAUUUGGAUACUUUGGAGGUCCAAGACGAUCGACGUGGAGGAACUUUGCUCUACAGAGCAGGAGAUCCAUGCGUUGGUUAAGUUACGUGACUCUAACUUUACUUGGAUUUUGUCUGCAAUUUAUGCUAGUCCGAUAUUUAGUGAACCUAAACUUUUGUGAGAGAACUUAGCUUUAAUUGCUAGUAAAUAUUAGCUUCCUUGAGCUAUAAUGGGGGACUUUAAUGAGGUCCUAUCUAGUAGUAAUAAGAAAGGAGGAUUGCCUGUAAAUUCAAAUAGGUGAAAUGCCUUCUAUAAGUGUCCCAACUCUUAUAAUGUGAUGGACUUAGGCUUUUGGGGUCCACGCUUUAGAUGGAAAAACGGUAGGGAACUUUCCUCAUUAAUCCAAGAAAGGAUUGAUUAUAUCUUUGCGAACCCUGAGUGGAAAGUGAUCUACCCAAAUGCCUUGAUUUCUCAUCUUCCUAGAGUUAGAUCGGAUCAUUCACCAUUCUUGUUAAGGUUGAUUAAUUGCUCGAUGCCAAGUGGAAACAAACUGUUUAGGUUUUAGAAAAUGUGGUUGAGACAUCCUGAAUUUCAAAGUACGAUAAACCCUUUUUGGAGUUGCAUUGAACAACCAAUUAAUUCUAUGAUUAAAUCCUAUGCCGAUUACUUGAAGAUUUGGAAUCGGGCAACCUUUGGAAAUGUGUUCAUUAAUAAGAAGAAGUUGAUGGCUCGGCUUGUGGGCAUUGAGAGAGCUCUUGAAAAUAAUUCUAAUAAUCAUCUCCUAGAACUUCAACGAAAGCUAACUUGUGGAUACCAAGAGAUUUUGGCCCAAGAAAAGGAUUUAUGGGUUAUGAAGUCCAGAGUGAAUUGGAUUAUUGAAGGUGAACGAAACACCCGCUUUUUCCACCUCAGUACAAUCAAAAGGAGAAGUUUUAAUCGUAUUUUGGCACUGAAAAAUGAUAGAGGAGAUUGGAUUUAUGAGAAGAGUGGCAUUACUUAUAUCAUACAACAGUACUUUGAAGGGCUCUUCACCUUUGAUCAAGAAUGGGAUUUGCGUAAGAUCGAGACCUCGCCCUUAGACUAGCCGAUACUCAACGUGGAGAAUCAGAAUGCCCUCUUUGACCCGAUUAGCGAGAUUGAGGUGGCAAGGGUUGUUUGGUCUUUUAAACCCUUGAAGGCCUCCGGACUUAAUGGCCUUCAUCCAAUCUCUUUUCAAGUGUUAGCAGCAGGUUAAAUAAAAAAUAUUUUCUAUGGUCAAGGAAACCUUCGACUUGGGCAAGCUAUUAGAAGGGACUAACAAUACCCUCAUUGUUCCAUUAGCCUUUGUAACACCACUUACAAAUUUAUUACGAAACUGAUGGUGCAAAAGCUAAGACCUAUGUUUGGUAAGCUCAUUUCCCCCUUACAAGGAAGCUUUGUCUUAGGUAGACAAAUUACGGACAAUGUCAUUUUUGCUCAAGAAAUUAUACAUUUCAUGAGACAUAGGAAAGAAAAAUGUGGAUACAUGAUCAUUAAAAUUGAUAUGGAGAAAACUUACCAUAAAUUGGAAUGGGACUUUAUUAGGAAAGUCCUUACCUAUUUCCAUUUUCCGGUAGAGUGGAUUGGAGUGUGUAUCCAAAUCUUCUAUGUCGGUAAUUGUUAAUGGUAAGAAACCUCCGGAGUUUAGCCCUACUCAAGAUAUAAAACAAGGAGACCCUUUUAUCUCCUUAUUUAUUUAUCAUGCGUAUGGAAUUCAUAAAGCUUGCAUGGAGAAAAAAUGGAGGCCUUUAAAGGCGUCUAGGGGAGGACCAGAAAUAUCGCAUUUGUUCUUUGUCGAUGAUGUUUUACUUUUUGCUAAAGUUGAUAAAGGCUCAGUCCAAUUAAUCAAACAUAUCUUGAUGAAUUUUUCAAAGGAAUCGGGCAAAAAAUCAGCUUGGAGAAAUCAAGAAAUUUUUCUCUCCAAAUACAAACACUCGACUAACGGAAGAAGUUUGUAAUGAGCUCCAAAUCAGGGCUACGGUUGAACUGGGCCGUUAUUUGGGUUUCCCUCUACUCAAUUCUAGGGUGAAAAUUUUUUAUUAUGAGUUUGUUGCGGACAAAGUCAGACAAAAGCUUUGUGGUUGGAAAGCUAAUUUGUUGUUACCAGCGGGGAGUAAGGUUCCUUGCUCCCCUUAAGCAUUUGCAGGGACCUUGAUAGAAUUAAGCGUAACUUCCAAUGGGGCGGAUAGAAGGAAAUUACAUAAGAUUAAAUGGGAAACUGUCACCAAAUACAAGGACCAAGGGGGAUUGGGUCUCAAGACUGCUGCUUGCAAGAACAAAUCCUUUCUUAUUAAACUUGGAUGGAGAAUGAUUCAUGGGAAGGAUGAAUUAUGGGUUAAACUCUUGGUUGCAAAAUACGUCCAAGGGAGACUGGAGACUACAAAUGUUCAAAAUGUGUCGAACAUAUGGAGCUCUCUUAGAAAGGUGAGUGGAUUACUGCAAGAAGGCAUUCGAUGGGUGGUUCGCAAGGAGAGGUUGACAGGUUUUGCGAAGACAACUGGUCAGGCAUAGGAGCUCCUAGGUCCCUAGUGCAAGGGAGAAGCUGAUCUAUCAUUUAAACAAGUGAAGUUGGGUUGGGAUGAACAGGGACUGGAAGCUCUAUCACUAACUGUUUCGGAAAAUAUUAUGGAGGCUUUUAUAAGCACCCACAUUUCCUCUUGGUCUAAUGCUAAUGAUGGGAUUUACUGGAAUUAUGAGGGUAAAGGUUUAUUUACUCUAUCGAGUGCUUAAGAGCUUGUAAGAAGUAAGUUUGUCCCUCCAGGGAUUGGUUCUGCAAGAGCUGCAACUGGAUGGAAAGAAUAUGGAAAUUCAAAAUACCACCUAAAGUUGGGUUCUUUCUCUGAAAGUGUUUACAUGAUGCGAUUCCUACAGAGAGUUUCCUAGCUUGUAGACAAAUCCUACUUGAUAGUACUUGCUCGUUUUGCUUAAGGCAUCAAGAAACUACCGAACAUAUCCUCAUGAAUUGUGAGAAGUCGAAAUAUUGGUGGUAGUCAAUCAGACCUCCUUCGGUUUCUUCAGGAUCUGUUAAUCAAAGUCUGAAUGACUGGAUCAUCAACAAUAUUACUUCAAAGAAAUGGCACCCUAUUCAUAGUAUACCUUGGAAGGUGUUGUUUGCUUUUACUAUAUGGCAAAUUUGGUUGACCCGUAACAAGAAGAUUUUCGCAGGAAAGGAAUUGUAUAACGACGUCACGAAUAAAGCCAUGGAGCAUUUUGUUAUCUCAGCCCCUAUUAAGUCCUUUCCAAUCCUUAGUGAUGGCUCUGCACUUUCUAACUCAGGGAAGGCGGGAGCAGGAGUGUUGAUUAGGGACAGUAAAGGAGAUUGGAUCGUGGGAAGCUAUCGACACAGUCCCCUACACACCAGUGUGUGUGCGGAACUGUAGGCGCUUAGGGAUGGGUUGCAUCUUGUUAAAGAUCUUAAUGUCAGAAAUAUUCUUAUUGAACUUGAUGCAACUUCUGUCAUUGCUUUCAUCGAGAAUGACACUAUCACUAACCCCCUUUUAUUUUCACUUGUUCACGAGUGCAGGACCAUUAUCUCCUAGUUUGAACGUUACAAAGUAAAACACGCAUUUAGGAAGGCAAUCGCUAUGCAAACAUGCUGGCCAGACUUGGAAGCUCUGUUAUUGUUCCUUCUACUGAAUGUAUUUUGCUAUGUUUGUAUUCCUUUCGUCGACAGCUUCCGGACUAUUUAACCCCCCUUCUGCGUAACUGGGUUGAUGUUGUUUCGGGAUACCAAUUUGUGUUGAACUUUUGCAUGCUAUUAUGAUCAAAAAAUAAAAAUAAAAACCACACUUAAAUAAGAUUUAAACUUGAUGCUAUGGUAUUUAAAUACUCAGUUUUACUACUCUUAUUUUAAUUUUUCCAUAAAUACAUAAAAUUUUAAUAAAUAUACAUUUUUUAGGUAAAUUUUUCACCUAUGUCAUCAUGAUGAUUAAUGAUUUAUACUGUAAUAUUAAUAUAUUAGUAGUAUUUUUUUUAAGAUCAAAAGGAAUAUUAUUUUCUAUCAUUAUAUUGUAAUUAUUUUUUUAUCGUGCAUAAAAUAACUCGUUGGUGGAAGUACAAGG
RNAcentral lists this long non-coding RNA (5169 nucleotides) under Gossypium raimondii (Peruvian cotton). RNAcentral's name for it is "long non-coding RNA (GRAI_LNC004925)". The record is from RNAcentral. Lineage: Eukaryota; Viridiplantae; Streptophyta; Magnoliopsida; Malvales; Malvaceae.